This 253-nucleotide ribosomal RNA is filed under the name uncultured bacterium. Its description in RNAcentral is "partial 16S ribosomal RNA". It matches the Rfam family "Bacterial small subunit ribosomal RNA", at positions 524 to 776 of the family's 1533-position model. The record is from RNAcentral.
UACGUAUGGGGCAAGCGUUAUCCGGAUUUACUGGGUGUAAAGGGAGCGCAGGCGGCCUGGCAAGCCUGAUGUGAAAUACCGGGGCCCAACCCCGGGGCUGCAUUGGGAACUGCCAGGCUGGAGUGCCGGAGAGGCAGGCGGAAUUCCGUGUGUAGCGGUGAAAUGCGUAGAUAUACGGAGGAACACCAGUGGCGAAGGCGGAUUGCUGGACAGUAACUGACGCUGAGGCACGAAGGCCAGGGGAGCGAAAGGG